This 165-nucleotide ribosomal RNA is filed under the name Neofusicoccum vitifusiforme. RNAcentral describes it as "5.8S ribosomal RNA". It matches the Rfam family "5.8S ribosomal RNA". From Rfam's summary of the family: 5.8S ribosomal RNA (5.8S rRNA) is a component of the large subunit of the eukaryotic ribosome. It is transcribed by RNA polymerase I as part of the 45S precursor that also contains 18S and 28S rRNA. Functionally, it is thought that 5.8S rRNA may be involved in ribosome translocation. The record is from RNAcentral. Lineage: Eukaryota; Fungi; Ascomycota; Dothideomycetes; Botryosphaeriales; Botryosphaeriaceae.
UAAACUAAAACUUUCAACAACGGAUCUCUUGGUUCUGGCAUCGAUGAAGAACGCAGCGAAAUGCGAUAAGUAAUGUGAAUUGCAGAAUUCAGUGAAUCAUCGAAUCUUUGAACGCACAUUGCGCCCCUUGGUAUUCCGAGGGGCAUGCCUGUUCGAGCGUCAUUU